CUCUUGAAAGAAUCUAAGAGCUUAAGGAUUUUCUGAAGUUAAAGGAAUUUCAGCGGAUCGAGGUACAGACGAAUCUACUGAGGAGCUGAGUAUUACUGAGGAGGGAGAGGCCGAUGUUUAGUAGUCCCUGGGUAGUUUGGUUUCUUCUAUGAUGAUAUAUGUUUCUUAUGUUUCAAUAAUGGAAACCCUCCUACUUUAAGUUAGUUUUCUUUUGUAAUGACUAAAGGGACUGAGUCCCUUUUUGUUUAAAGUAGUUAUCUUAAAUAAAUGGAUGACGGACUCUGAGAGUCCUUUGUAAAGGAAUGUAAA
Long non-coding RNA from Carya illinoinensis, 309 nucleotides. RefSeq lists it as uncharacterized. The record is from RefSeq and is a predicted model, not a curated record. The transcript has 3 exons. NCBI's taxonomy places the organism in Eukaryota, Viridiplantae, Streptophyta, Magnoliopsida, Fagales, Juglandaceae.